CCCUUAGAUGUUCUGGGCUGCACGCGCGCUACACUGAUGCGCUCAACGAGUUUACGAACUUGCCCGGAAGGGUUGGUUAAUCUUUUUAAAACGCAUCGUGAUGGGGAUAGAUUAUUGCAAUUAUUAAUCUUCAACGAGGAAUUCCUAGUAAGCGCGAGUCAUAAGCUCGCGUUGAUUACGUCCCUGCCCUUUGUACACACCGCCCGUCGCUACUACCGAUUGAACGGUUUAGUGAGGGCCUCGGAUUGGUCUCGGCCCGCUCUUUACCGGGCGGCGCCGUUGGUCGAGAAGACGCUCGAACUUGAUCGUUUAGAGGAAGUAAAAGUCGUAACA
This 333-nucleotide ribosomal RNA is filed under the name uncultured eukaryote. RNAcentral describes it as "partial 18S ribosomal RNA". It matches the Rfam family "Eukaryotic small subunit ribosomal RNA", at positions 1470 to 1796 of the family's 1831-position model. The record is from RNAcentral.